Molecule: ribosomal RNA, 159 nt
Filed under: uncultured bacterium
Lineage: Bacteria
Description: partial 16S rRNA
Rfam family: Bacterial small subunit ribosomal RNA
Source: RNAcentral
UCGGGAAUUUUUCACAAUGGGCGCAAGCCUGAUGGAGCGACGCCGCGUGGGGGAUGAAUGGCUUCGGCCCGUAAACCCCUGUCAUUCGCGAUCAAACCUUGGUAUUUAAAAGAUGCCGAGCUGAUAGUAGCGGAAGAGGAAGGGACGGCUAACUCUGUG